Molecule: ribosomal RNA, 473 nt
Filed under: uncultured bacterium
Lineage: Bacteria
Description: bacterial SSU rRNA
Rfam family: Bacterial small subunit ribosomal RNA
Source: RNAcentral
UAGGGAAUUUUGGGCAAUGGGCGAAAGCCUGACCCAGCAACGCCGCGUGUGGGAUGAAGGCCCUCGGGUCGUAAACCACUGUCAGGAGGAAAGAAAAGUCGGCCGGAUAAUACUCGGUCGACCUGACGGUACCUCCAAAGGAAGCACCGGCUAACUCCGUGCCAGCAGCCGCGGUAAUACGGAGGGUGCAAGCGUUGUUCGGAAUUACUGGGCGUAAAGCGCGUGUAGGUGGUCGAGUAAGUCGAAUGUGAAAGCCCCGGGCUCAACCCGGGAAGUGCAUCCGAAACUGCUCGACUAGAGUCCCGGAGAGGAAGGCAGAAUUCCCAAUGUAGGGGUGAAAUCCGUAGAUAUUGGGAGGAAUACCGGUGGCGAAGGCGGCCUUCUGGACGGUGACUGACACUCAGACGCGAAAGCGUGGGGAGCAAACAGGAUUAGAUACCCAUGUAGUCCCUGAGCGGGCUGGCAAGGCGCAU